ACUGUGACUUGCUCUAAUCAUUGGCAACACACUGCACAGAGGCAGACCCUGGGAUAAGGGCCAAAAACAGAGGAGGUGGCCAAAAUCAGAAUAGACUAAAAAGCAGCAGGGAAAUGGAACAGACACAAACACUGAAGUCCUCCUACACGUAUUACUGCUACAGAAGGAUCACAAAGGAACACCUUGGCACCUAUACCUCCGCUUCCUGAACAAAUGUGACAACCAGAUUGAUUGACCAAUUUGCCCAGGCUGUUCAUCCAAGAGAUACCUCUUCAGACUCUCCUAAACCUGGGAUCUUGGCAUAAUAGACAGGUUCCAAUGUGCAGCAAUCUAUCCAUUUCAGAGUGUAUCAGGAAUCCACUACUGCUUCAGGAAUAUUCCAGAAUUUAUGGGAAUCCACUACAGGACUUGUCUGCUGUUCCUGAAAAAUAUCACUUUCUGCUUGUGCCACCAUCUUUCUGCAAUGAACUAAGUCAACAACUCAAAAAUCUUUCAACAGAAAACAUGAUGAUACAUAGUUUUAAAUUCCAAAGUACUGGUCAACACCUUAAAGAAAAACAAAAUCGCUGAAGCAAAACGCCGCUUCCUGGAAUACAGCAUGAAUUCUCAACUUGAUUAUAACUUAACCUGUGCUCAUGCACAUUCAGAGAGUAAACAAGAAGCUUGCCAUGCACUGCACAAGAAUCAAAUCUCAGCUGCCGUCCUUGAGCGCAGACUGCUGAAGCCCAGCCAUAUCAACUUCUUCAUGAAUACAUAAACCAGCAUCAUUAAUUUGUCAACAAAUGCAUCAGGAUGGAUAGAAAUUCUUGCAGCCAAACCCACAACCUACUAUUUUACAAGGCAGCAUAGCUCUCAGUGUUGGACAGGGAUGUAAACCCACAACUUUUCAACCUAAAAAAAAAUUAGACUUGCUCUGAUCUCCCAUAGAUGCUGCACUUCUGCUUCAGACCUCAAAUUUCUGUCUUGUAGAAGAGAGUUUGUUUCUAAAGCAGCCUGAGGACAGAGAAAAGCUUGCAAAAAACUAUGGAAGCCAAGAAACACCUGGCAGGAGGUACCUGUUUGGGCAUUAGUCAGAGAAUGGAGACUGGGGUCUGCAAAGGACACUGCCUGGAGCCAAACUGCCUCCUGUUCAAGAGUCCUUCAGCAACCUGAACUCCUUGUUCACUGCUCCACUUUGCUGCCACUCAGUCACAUCCUGGCCUGCAGCUCUGAGUCCUCUCAGGCAGCCCCAGGACUUGUAAUGAAUGGGCACAAUGGGGUUGUCUUACAGCAAAAAUUGUGCCAGCAUGUACUCUGGCUUCAGCACAAAACAGAUGGCAGUCACAUUGCUCAGCAUACACUGAAAGGUGUUUAGAGACUACAAACAUCCAAAAUCUUAAAAGAAAAUAAAAUGUUUGGGGCUCAGUGACUCUGCUGAGAUGAUGCAGAGAAUGUAAGUGAAAUUUAUGAUGUUCUUGUCUUAAAAUCUGUUUCUCAAAACUGUAGUAUUAUUUUCCUAAGUAGUGUUGUGUUCAUUAUUCGCUAGGAUUGGAAUAAUACACCUGCUUAUAAAUAACGUACUGAAAACAGUUCUAAAGACUUCAUAGAAGAAAAAUAUCUUGCACCAACGUACCCAUUAAAGUGUCACCUUUUAGGGGAUCUCAAUCUAUUACAUUGAAGUCAAUGGAAGUGCUGUCAAGUGUGUCUUGAGACCAAGCACAAUUCC
This is a long non-coding RNA of Chroicocephalus ridibundus (black-headed gull), 1705 nucleotides long. RefSeq lists it as uncharacterized. NCBI's taxonomy places the organism in Eukaryota, Metazoa, Chordata, Aves, Charadriiformes, Laridae. The record is from RefSeq and is a predicted model, not a curated record. The transcript has 4 exons.